RNAcentral lists this ribosomal RNA (459 nucleotides) under uncultured Comamonas sp. RNAcentral describes it as "bacterial SSU rRNA". It matches the Rfam family "Bacterial small subunit ribosomal RNA", at positions 341 to 792 of the family's 1533-position model. Lineage: Bacteria; Pseudomonadati; Pseudomonadota; Betaproteobacteria; Burkholderiales; Comamonadaceae. The record is from RNAcentral.
ACGGGAGGCAGCAGUGGGGAAUUUUGGACAAUGGGCGCAAGCCUGAUCCAGCAAUGCCGCGUGCAGGAUGAAGGCCUUCGGGUUGUAAACUGCUUUUGUACGGAACGAAAAGCUCUGGGCUAAUACCUCGGAGUCAUGACGGUACCGUAAGAAUAAGCACCGGCUAACUACGUGCCAGCAGCCGCGGUAAUACGUAGGGUGCAAGCGUUAAUCGGAAUUACUGGGCGUAAAGCGUGCGCAGGCGGUUUUGUAAGACAGAGGUGAAAUCCCCGGGCUCAACCUGGGAACUGCCUUUGUGACUGCAAGGCUAGAGUACGGCAGAGGGGGAUGGAAUUCCGCGUGUAGCAGUGAAAUGCGUAGAUAUGCGGAGGAACACCGAUGGCGAAGGCAAUCCCCUGGGCCUGUACUGACGCUCAUGCACGAAAGCGUGGGGAGCAAACAGGAUUAGAUACCCUGGUA